RNAcentral lists this ribosomal RNA (767 nucleotides) under uncultured bacterium. RNAcentral describes it as "bacterial SSU rRNA". It matches the Rfam family "Bacterial small subunit ribosomal RNA", at positions 9 to 822 of the family's 1533-position model. The record is from RNAcentral.
GAGUUUGAUCAUGGCUCAGGACGAACGCUGGCGGCGUGCUUAACACAUGCAAGUCGAACGAACCUUCGGGUUAGUGGCGGACGGGUGAGUAACGCGUGAGAAUCUGCCCUCAGGAGGGGGAUAACAGCUGGAAACGGCUGCUAAUACCCCAUAUGCCGCGAGGUGAAAUGAAUUUCGCCUGAGGAUGAGCUCGCGUCUGAUUAGCUAGUUGGUGUAGGUAAAGGCUCACCAAGGCGACGAUGGGUAGGGGGCCUGAGAGGGUGAUCCCCCACACUGGUACUGAGACACGGCCCAGACUCCUACGGGAGGCAGCAGUGGGGAAUUUUCCGCAAUGGGCGAAAGCCUGACGGAGCAACGCCGCGUGAGGGAUGAAGGCCUCUGGGCUGUAAACCUCUUUUCUCAAGGAAGAAGAUCUGACGGUACUUGAGGAAUAAGCCACGGCUAAUUCCGUGCCAGCAGCCGCGGUAAUACGGGAGUGGCAAGCGUUAUCCGGAAUUAUUGGGCGUAAAGCGUCCGCAGGCGGCCCUUCAAGUCUGCUGUUAAAAAGUGGAGCUUAACUCCAUCAUGGCAGUGGAAACUGUUGGGCUUGAGUGUGGUAGGGGCAGAGGGAAUUCCCGGUGUAGCGGUGAAAUGCGUAGAUAUCGGGAAGAACACCAGUGGCGAANGCGCUCUGCUGGGCCAUCACUGACGCUCAUGGACGAAAGCCAGGGGAGCGAAAGGGAUUAGAUACCNCUGUAGUCCUGGCCGUAAACGAUGAACACUAGGUG